Molecule: long non-coding RNA, 567 nt
Filed under: Fukomys damarensis (Damara mole-rat)
Lineage: Eukaryota; Metazoa; Chordata; Mammalia; Rodentia; Bathyergidae
Description: lncRNA (ENSFDAG00000030755.1)
Source: RNAcentral
GUGUUUUUUAGUUCCUACGUGUUUUCUUUUGCCUAGUAAAUAUUCAUAUGGGUUUAACUUGUGUUUUCUAGCAAAGGUGGAGCUGAUUGGCCCAAGAGUCUCCACUGGCCUGGGUGACAAUCCAGUCGACUGAGUUAGCUUCACCACCUUCAGAUUUCAGUGCCAUUUGUCUUCCCAGCCUUCUCAGAUGACUGAUGUUUCUUGCAGCUUACAAGAAUUCCUGUAUUCCUCUUUGCAAGAAAAGAACCAUGCUACACAGAUUAACCUUCAGAAACCGAGAACAAGAGAGACAGAUGAACAGAUCUGGAAUCAAUAACAAAACCCACUGCAAUAAUGUCUCACACACAAAGUCCUGACUCGGCCAGCAUGUGAUGUCAGCCAAAUAUUACACAAUGCUGAAGGAGGAAAUUGGGUUUGAAAGUAAAAAUAGUAGACGGUGCUAGCACAGACAGAAUGUGCUAAUCCCCGUAAUGCAAUUAUCUCACUGGGAGUGCAGAAGGAGAACAGAACACUGACCCAACCUGCCACACGCCUACCUCAAAAACUCUGCAAAGUCCAAAAUGCAUG